This 223-nucleotide ribosomal RNA is filed under the name Proteus mirabilis. RNAcentral's name for it is "partial 23S ribosomal RNA". It matches the Rfam family "Bacterial large subunit ribosomal RNA", at positions 1104 to 1326 of the family's 2925-position model. The record is from RNAcentral. Lineage: Bacteria; Pseudomonadati; Pseudomonadota; Gammaproteobacteria; Enterobacterales; Morganellaceae.
GCUUAGAAGCAGCCAUCAUUUAAAGAAAGCGUAAUAGCUCACUGGUCGAGUCGGCCCGCGCGGAAGAUGUAACGGGGCUAAACCAUGCACCGAAGCUGCGGCAGCGACACAAAGUGUUGUUGGGUAGGGGAGCGUUCUGUAAGCCUGCGAAGGUGUACUGUGAGGUAUGCUGGAGGUAUCAGAAGUGCGAAUGCUGACAUAAGUAACGAUAAUGCGGGUGAAA